GUCCCAGCCGUAAACGAUGGACGCUAGGUGUGGGGGGAACAUCCCUCCGUGCCGAAGCCAACGCAUUAAGCGUCCCGCCUGGGGAGUACGGCCGCAAGGCUAAAACUCAAAGGAAUUGACGGGGGCCCGCACAAGCAGCGGAGCAUGUGGCUUAAUUCGAAGCAACGCGAAGAACCUUACCAGGGCUUGACAUACGGGUGAAGCCGGAGAGAUCCGGUGGCCGAGAGGAGCCCGUACAGGUGGUGCAUGGCUGUCGU
This 257-nucleotide ribosomal RNA is filed under the name uncultured bacterium. RNAcentral's name for it is "partial 16S ribosomal RNA". It matches the Rfam family "Bacterial small subunit ribosomal RNA", at positions 793 to 1055 of the family's 1533-position model. The record is from RNAcentral.